Molecule: ribosomal RNA, 509 nt
Filed under: uncultured bacterium
Lineage: Bacteria
Description: bacterial SSU rRNA
Rfam family: Bacterial small subunit ribosomal RNA
Source: RNAcentral
GAUGAACGCUAGCGGCAGGCUUAACACAUGCAAGUCGAGGGGCAGCAGGUCUUCGGACGCUGGCGACCGGCAAACGGGUGCGGAACACGUACGCAACAUACCCACUACAGGGGGAUAGCCCGGAGAAAUCCGGAUUAACACCCCAUAGUAUAACUGGAAGGCAUCUUUUGGUUAUUAAAAAUUUAUUGGUAGUGGAUUGGCGUGCGUCCCAUUAGAUAGUUGGCGGGGUAACGGCCCACCAAGUCAGCGAUGGGUAGCUGGUGUGAGAGCACGACCAGCCACACGGGCACUGAGACACGGGCCCGACUCCUACGGGAGGCAGCAGUGAGGAAUAUUGGUCAAUGGACGCAAGUCUGAACCAGCCAUGCCGCGUGGAGGAUGACAGCCUUCUGGGUUGUAAACUUCUUUUAUAUGGGAAGAAAAGUACGGUAUCUACUGUAUCCGACGGUACCAUAUGAAUAAGCACCGGCUAACUCCGUGCCAGCAGCCGCGGUAAUACGGAGGGUGAC